GGGUGCAAUCAUACCAGCACUAGAGUGUCGUAUCCCAUCAGAACUCUACUGUCAAGCGUGCUUGGGCGAGAGUAGUCUAGGAUGGAUGGCCUCCUGGGAAGUGUUCGUGUUGCUUCCC
This is a non-coding RNA of Gossypium raimondii (Peruvian cotton), 118 nucleotides long. The record is from Rfam. NCBI's taxonomy places the organism in Eukaryota, Viridiplantae, Streptophyta, Magnoliopsida, Malvales, Malvaceae.